CCUACGGGUGGCAGCAGUGAGGAAUAUUGGUCAAUGGACGAGAGUCUGAACCAGCCAAGUAGCGUGCAGGAUGACUGCCCUAUGGGUUGUAAACUUCUUUUAUAUGUGAGUAAAAUGUUCUACGUGUGUGGUGUUGUAUGUACCAUAUGAAUAAGGAUCGGCUAACUCCGUGCCAGCAGCCGCGGUAAUACGGAGGAUCCGAGCGUUAUCCGGAUUUAUUGGGUUUAAAGGGAGCGUAGGUGGAUUGUUAAGUUAGUGGUGAAAGUUUGCGGCUCAACCGUAAAAUUGCAUUUGAGACUGGCAGGCUUGAGUACAGUAGCGGUGGGCGGAAUGUGUGGUGUAGCGGUGAAAUGCUUAGAUAUCAUGAAGAACUCCGAUUGCGAAGGCAGCUCACUGAACUGCAACUGACACUGAGGCACGAAAGUGUGGGUAUCAAACAGGAUUAGAUACCCCAGUAGUC
Molecule: ribosomal RNA, 460 nt
Filed under: uncultured bacterium
Lineage: Bacteria
Description: partial 16S ribosomal RNA
Rfam family: Bacterial small subunit ribosomal RNA
Source: RNAcentral